This 736-nucleotide ribosomal RNA is filed under the name uncultured bacterium. RNAcentral describes it as "bacterial SSU rRNA". It matches the Rfam family "Bacterial small subunit ribosomal RNA", at positions 21 to 752 of the family's 1533-position model. The record is from RNAcentral.
GGCUCAGAUUGAACGCUGGCGGCAUGCUUUACACAUGCAAGUCGAACGGCAGCGGGGGNUUCGGCCUGCCGGCGAGUGGCGAACGGGUGAGUAAUGCAUCGGAACGUGCCCAUGUCGUGGGGGAUAACGUAUCGAAAGGUACGCUAAUACCGCAUACGUCCUGAGGGAGAAAGCGGGGGACCGUAAGGCCUCGCGCGAUUGGAGCGGCCGAUGUCGGAUUAGCUAGUUGGUGAGGUAAAGGCUCACCAAGGCGACGAUCCGUAGCGGGUCUGAGAGGAUGAUCCGCCACACUGGGACUGAGACACGGCCCAGACUCCUACGGGAGGCAGCAGUGGGGAAUUUUGGACAAUGGGCGCAAGCCUGAUCCAACCAUGCCGCGUGAGUGAAGAAGGCCUUCGGGUUGUAAAGCUCUUUCGGCCGGGAAGAAAUCGUGUUCUCUAACAUAGGACAUGGAUGACGGUACCGGACUAAGAAGCACCGGCUAACUACGUGCCAGCAGCCGCGGUAAUACGUAGGGUGCGAGCGUUAAUCGGAAUUACUGGGCGUAAAGCGUGCGCAGGCGGUUUGGUAAGACAGGUGUGAAAUCCCCGGGCUUAACCUGGGAACUGCGCUUGUGACUGCCAGGCUAGAGUACGGCAGAGGGGGGUGGAAUUCCACGUGUAGCAGUGAAAUGCGUAGAGAUGUGGAGGAACACCGAUGGCGAAGGCAGCCCCCUGGGCCUGUACUACGCUCUGCC